CGAGGGGGCCGUACGGACGCCUGGUGGUGAACGACGUCCGAAGUGCGGGUGCACGUGAUAGCCGCGUAAACAGAGCGUAGCUUCUCCUCCAUUCGUCUAAGCCAGGACCGGUGCGGCUCCCGUGGUAGUAGAAGUGGACCGGUCGAAAGCGAACGUCCAUACGCAGCGAACUCGGCCUGUAAAUCUUGUGUCAACUGAGCCUGCAAUUGGCACAAAGAGUAUUACAUAUAUAUGGCAAAGUACGUAACAAACACAUGCAUUAUGUUAAGAGAAGAUACUUACCGCGUGCUGUCUAGAGCCUGAAGUAGACUGGCUAGGGUACAUAUCUUGCAAACUCGGCUCGGCUAUCUCUUGGGGGUGAGAGUGCUGAAUGAUGGUCAAUCGGGUAGCUGUCAUAUACCUCUGCAAAUAUCCGUUGAAUAGAUCGAGAUCAAAGGCCGCCAAUGGCCAAACCUGUGUCGUCGCAGUCUCCCACUCUGUGACAUACGACUGAACCCUCUGCAGCCACUGAGUCUGGGUCUUGGUACUUCCCUUCCUGGUAAAUCUGAGAUCGCAAUAGAAAGUUGAACAAUUAAAUUAUGGACAAUUCUGGACGACAAUCAUAAAUUGGAGAACUGCACAUACCUGUGGACGACCUGUGGAAGUGGAUCCUCCGUCGGUGGAGGAACGACCAACUGGCGUGCCCCAAACUGCCUCUUGACCCUCUGCUG
Molecule: long non-coding RNA, 710 nt
Filed under: Brachypodium distachyon (stiff brome)
Lineage: Eukaryota; Viridiplantae; Streptophyta; Magnoliopsida; Poales; Poaceae
Description: long non-coding RNA (BDIS_LNC002183)
Source: RNAcentral